AGAGAGUGUUUCGCCUCUAAUCACGCCAAACCCUCGUCCAGUGUAGGUGGUAAGAGACGUCGGGGACUGAGGCCUCUUCCCUUACCAGGGACCUAAAACCUUUUCUCCGGUUGGGCUAGUUCGCUCUCGGGGAAGAACUACACCUCCUACAUCCACCCUCUACCUCUCAUUUUAAGUCCCUUGUGCCUGAGCAUUUCUCUCCACGUGACUCUUAAGGUGAGAAGCCUCUUGCCCAUCCCUUUACUCCGUAAUUAACGGGUGUUGUGACCAGAUGACCAGUCUGCCCCACUACCAGGAAAAUUGGGAGUUUGGGAUACUGUAGGCAUAAGAGGAUACUGACAGAGACGUUCUGGAUGUUUUCCUGACGCUGAGAACUCCUAAACUUGCAUCCUGGCGUCUGCUAAGGUGUAUCUCUGCCUCUCCC
RNAcentral lists this long non-coding RNA (424 nucleotides) under Homo sapiens (human). RNAcentral's name for it is "long non-coding RNA NONHSAT245493". Lineage: Eukaryota; Metazoa; Chordata; Mammalia; Primates; Hominidae. The record is from RNAcentral.